GGGCAGCGGGGAGGAAGCUUGCUUUCUCCGCCGGCGACCGGCGCACGGGUGAGUAACACGUAUGCAACCUGCCCCUGUCAGGGGGACAACCCGCCGAAAGGCGGGCUAAACCCGCGUACAUGCCACCGGGGCAUCCCGGAGGCAGGAAAGGCUUCGGCCGGACAGGGAUGGGCAUGCGGCGCAUUAGGCAGUAGGCGGGGUAACGGCCCACCUAACCGACGAUGCGUAGGGGUUCUGAGAGGAAGGUCCCCCACACUGGUACUGAGACACGGACCAGACUCCUACGGGAGGCAGCAGUGAGGAAUAUUGGUCAAUGGUCGGGAGACUGAACCAGCCAAGCCGCGUGAGGGAGGAAGGUACAGAGUAUCGUAAACCUCUUUUGUCAGGGAACAAAGGCGGGGACGUGUCCCCGGAUGAGUGUACCUGAAGAAAAAGCAUCGGCUAACUCCGUGCCAGCAGCCGCGGUAAUACGGAGGAUGCGAGCGUUAUCCGGAUUUAUUGGGUUUAAAGGGUGCGCAGGCGGUCUGUUAAGUCAGCGGUCAAAGCCCGGGGCUCAACCCCGGCCCGCCGUUGAAACUGGCAGUCUCGAGUUGGAGAGAAGUAUGCGGAAUGCGCGGUGUAGCGGUGAAAUGCAUAGAUAUCGCGCAGAACUCCGAUUGCGAAGGCAGCAUGCCGGCUCCACACUGACGCUGAGGCACGAAAGCGUGGGUAUCGAACAGGAUUAGAUACCCUGGUAGUCCACGCAGUAAACGAUGAAUGCUGGCUGUCCGGGGGGAUUGACCCCUGGGUGGCGAAGCGAAAGCGAUAAGCAUUCCACCUGGGGAGUACGCCGGCAACGGUGAAACUCAAAGGAAUUGACGGGGGCCCGCACAAGCGGAGGAACAUGUGGUUUAAUUCGAUGAUACGCGAGGAACCUUACCCGGGCUCAAACGGGGAGUGACUCAGGCAGAGACGCCUGUUUCCCACGGGACACUCCCCGAGGUGCUGCAUGGUUGUCGUCAGCUCGUGCCGUGAGGUGUCGGCUUAAGUGCCAUAACGAGCGCAACCCCCGCGUGCAGUUGCUAACAGAUAACGCUGAGGACUCUGCACGGACUGCCGGCGCAAGCCGCGAGGAAGGCGGGGAUGACGUCAAAUCAGCACGGCCCUUACGUCCGGGGCGACACACGUGUUACAAUGGGUGGUACAGCGGGAAGCCAGGCGGCGACGCCGAGCGGAACCCGAAAUCCACUCUCAGUUCGGAUCGGAGUCUGCAACCCGACUCCGUGAAGCUGGAUUCGCUAGUAAUCGCGCAUCA
This 1294-nucleotide ribosomal RNA is filed under the name uncultured bacterium. RNAcentral describes it as "partial 16S ribosomal RNA". It matches the Rfam family "Bacterial small subunit ribosomal RNA", at positions 67 to 1351 of the family's 1533-position model. The record is from RNAcentral.